RNAcentral lists this ribosomal RNA (496 nucleotides) under uncultured bacterium. RNAcentral describes it as "partial 16S ribosomal RNA". It matches the Rfam family "Bacterial small subunit ribosomal RNA", at positions 28 to 506 of the family's 1533-position model. The record is from RNAcentral.
GAUGAACGCUGGCGGCGUGCCUAAUACAUGCCAGUCGAGCGAACGGACGAGAAGCUUGCUUCUCUGAUGUUAGCGGCGGACGGGUGAGUAACACGUGGAUAACCUACCUAUAAGACUGGGAUAACUUCGGGAAACCGGAGCUAAUACCGGAUGAUAUUUUGAACCGCAUGGUUCAAAAGUGAAAGACGGUCUUGCUGUCACUUAUAGAUGGAUCCGCGCUGCAUUAGCUAGUUGGUAAGGUAACGGCUUACCAAGGCAACGAUGCAUAGCCGACCUGAGAGGGUGAUCGGCCACACUGGAACUGAGACACGGUCCAGACUCCUACGGGAGGCAGCAGUAGGGAAUCUUCCGCAAUGGGCGAAGGCCUGACGGAGCAACGCCGCGUGAGUGAUGAAGGUCUUCGGAUCGUAAAACGCUGUUAUUAGGGAAGAACAUAUGUGUAAGUAACUGUGCACAUCUUGACGGUACCUAAGCAGAAAGCCACGGCUAACUACGU